AUGAACGCUGGCGGCGUGCCUAAUACAUGCAAGUCGAGCGAACAGAUGAGGAGCUUGCUCCUCUGACGUUAGCGGCGGACGGGUGAGUAACACGUGGAUAACCUACCUAUAAGACUGGGAUAACUUCGGGAAACCGGAGCUAAUACCGGAUAAUAUAUUGAACCGCAUGGUUCAAUAGUGAAAGACGGUUUUGCUGUCACUUAUAGAUGGAUCCGCGCCGCAUUAGCUAGUUGGUAAGGUAACGGCUUACCAAGGCAACGAUGCGUAGCCGACCUGAGAGGGUGAUCGGCCACACUGGAACUGAGACACGGUCCAGACUCCUACGGAAGGCAGCAGUAGGGAAUCUUCCGCAAUGGGCGAAAGCCUGACGGAGCAACGCCGCGUGAGUGAUGAAGGUCUUCGGAUCGUAAAACUCUGUUAUUAGGGAAGAACAAAUGUGUAAGUAACUAUGCACGUCUUGACGGUACCCAAUCAGAAAGCCACGGCUAACUACGUG
Molecule: ribosomal RNA, 496 nt
Filed under: uncultured bacterium
Lineage: Bacteria
Description: partial 16S ribosomal RNA
Rfam family: Bacterial small subunit ribosomal RNA
Source: RNAcentral